This 460-nucleotide ribosomal RNA is filed under the name uncultured bacterium. RNAcentral's name for it is "partial 16S ribosomal RNA". It matches the Rfam family "Bacterial small subunit ribosomal RNA", at positions 338 to 795 of the family's 1533-position model. The record is from RNAcentral.
CCUACGGGCGGCAGCAGUGAGGAAUAUUGGUCCAUGGGCGGGAGCCUGAACCAGCCAAGUCGCGUGAGGGAAGACGGUCCUAUGGAUUGUAAACCUCUUUAGGCGGGGAGCAAUGCCGGGCACGCGUGCCCGGAGGGAGAGUACCCGCAGAAUAAGCAUCGGCGAACUCCGUGCCAGCAGCCGCGGUAAUACGGAGGAUGCGAGCGUUAUCGGGAUUUAGUGGGUGUAAAGGGUGCGUAGGCGGAUUUUUAAGUCAGCGGUAAAAUGUCCGGGCUCAACCCGGGCCGGCCGUUGAAACUGGGGAUCUUGAGUGGGCGAGAAGUAUGCGGAAUGCGUGGUGUAGCGGUGAAAUGCAUAGAUAUCACGCAGAACUCCGAUUGCGAAGGCAGCAUACCGGCGCCCGACUGACGCUGAGGCACGAAAGCGUGGGGAUCGAACAGGAUUAGAUACCCGGGUAGUC